CUGCCAUCUCAAUUGCGGGACAAAACAAAGUAAGUAGGCCGUUUUGAAGACCGGCGGCGCCCUUUGCCACAGCUGUGGCCCCGCCCUGCCUCGGCCCCCAGUCCACCCCGGAGGCGCUCUACGCAGACUGUUCAUCAACAAAGCAGAUCAUCGCUGAAACUGAGCUACCGGCAACACCAUCGUCCUAAAGCCAGUCGAGCAGUCAAUGCGGUGCCUAGUUUCCGUGGAGCCAGCGCUGCCCUGGCCAAUCACACAGAUGUCGACAAGGUAGCCUUCACCGGAUCAACGGAUGUAGAAAGACUCUGUAGAAGGCUCUGCUUCAACAUGGGCCAGUGCUGCUAUGCCGGCUCUCGCACCUAGAAGAGGACCGUGGGCACUGCCUUGGAUCUGAACACCGAGCAGGGUCCCCAGGUCAAUCCGGAGCAGAUGGAUAACAUCCUUGGAAUGAUCCAGCAGGGCAAGCAGCAGGGCGCCAAGCUGGUGGCCGGUGGUAGCCGUCCCGAAGGACUUCCCGGCCCCUUUGUCCAGCCAACGGUGUGGACAAUCUGGACUAGGCCAACUAAAUUUUCAGUGGCCUGCGUGCCGGCACUACAAUGCCCUGACUGCCCAGGCUCCUUUCGGACAAUACAACAACAUAGUUGAACAAAAAAUUCCUCGCCAAUCUUGUACGGUGGCAAGAAGCAGAAUCGUCCUAGAAGAUAAGGGCGGAAUGUGUUUCUCAUUAGACGUCCAAGUUUCGUUGAGUUUGGACCACUUUCUGGAUCAAAGUGCCAAAAGUGGGCCACAUUUCACUGUCCGCGACUGUUCGAUGUAUAAGCGCGCAAUAUUUGAAUUGAGAAUUCCUCCGAGACAAGACACCAACUAAUUUGGAUUUCCCUGUAUAAAUAAAUAAUCAAAUAAAACCAUGUUUGAUAUAGUUUUUUUUCCUUUUAAUUUUGAGAUUAUAUAUAUAUAAUAAUUAGAUUUACAUUCAUUUCUGUAUCAUUUUACUUGUUUUAUUUUAGAAAUAAAGUAAGCAUUUAUUACUAAUUCUUUUAUUCAUUUCAUUUGCUUUUCUGUUGUUGAUUUUUAGAUUUGCAUUUUAGUGCAGCAUUGUUUUCCAUUUCGUUUUGAUGAACAUUAUUAAAUACGGGGUAAUAGGGGAAUACAAAUACAACAAAAAAAAAAUAUUUUAAAUAUAAUAUUUCAUAAUGAGACGCGGGUUGUCCUACGUUCCGAUUCCUUUGCUGUGUGGUGGAGGAAUCGAGGGUGGGAGAGAGGGAGGGAGGAGGGAGAAUUUAAAAACAAACAACACAAAAACUAGACUCCAUCUAAUUUGACAUAUUUGAAAAGAAUGUAAUCCAUUCAUUGUGUGGGAAAUUCAGAAGAGUUCUAUACACAUUUGGCAUAUGUAUGUACUAUGUAGAGAUAUAUUGCAUCGUGACCACUUUUGAUAUUGAAGCUUGUUAAAAACACAAAGGAAAUGCACACACAGUACAACAAGCGGAGAUUGUUUGUUAAUGGGUUUGUUUUUUAUCAUUUGUUAACAUGCUACGAUUUAUAGAAUUUUGGUUUAAUUUAUGCUUCUCGUCUGCUACUCGACUCGAUUCGAUUAGAUUCGAUACGAUUUGAUUCGUUUCAAAUUUGUUUCUUGUUUUUCUCUUUUUCAUUGCUCUGUAUAAAAGUUCAGUAAAAAAAUGCAGCUUAACUAGGUUCUCGUUUUGUAAUUCCCUCCAAUUCGUUUGCUAUAAGGUUAGUGCUCUCCUUAUAAACGUCAUGGUGCAUCCGUACUUCCGUCUCUUUCAUUUCCAUUUCCAUUAAUUAUGCAUCAAAUGUUGUAAGCAUUGUUUUGUUUGUGUUGCUUUCGGCUUUAUUUUACAUUAAAUCAGUUAUAAUUGUUCCGGCUUCUGCUUAAAAACAUUCUUUCUGCUUCGCUUCUGCUCCGCUUCUGCUUCUGCUCUCGCUCUAAUAUUAUUUAAUUUUUUUACUUUGUUUUUAUCACUUAGUUUUUACAAUGGCGUUUUAUUUUGCUUUGCUUUGCUUUGUUUUAUUUUGUUUUGUUCUCCAUAAAAAUGAGCAUACAGACAAUUCAAUUUAUGUAUAAAUUUCCCUCUGCUUUCCACACUAACAUAUGUAAUCGUCAUCUCAUCAUCAGAAACGCACAAAUAAAUUCUAUUUGAUAAUACCAAGAACAAAA
RNAcentral lists this small RNA (2176 nucleotides) under Drosophila pseudoobscura pseudoobscura. RNAcentral's name for it is "GA31328". The record is from RNAcentral. Lineage: Eukaryota; Metazoa; Arthropoda; Insecta; Diptera; Drosophilidae.